Molecule: non-coding RNA, 76 nt
Organism: Podarcis lilfordi (Lilford's wall lizard)
Lineage: Eukaryota; Metazoa; Chordata; Lepidosauria; Squamata; Lacertidae
Source: the annotation of a GenBank genome assembly
ACCUGCAGGAUAGCUCAGGUGGUAGAGCAUGAAGCUUUUAAUUUCAGAGCUGUGGAUUUGAGCCCCACAUUGGGGA